CGCGUCUUANCAUGCAAGUCGAACGAUGAACCACUUCGGUGGGGAUUAGUUGGCGAACGGGUGAGUAACACGUUGGGCAAUCUGCCCUGCACUCUGGGACAAGCCCUGGAAACGGGGUCUAAUACCGGAUACUGACCCGCCUGGGCAUCCAGGCGGUUCGAAAGCUCCGGCGGUGCAGGAUGAGCCCGCGGCCUAUCAGCUUGUUGGUGAGGUAACGGCUCACCAAGGCGACGACGGGUAGCCGGCCUGAGAGGGCGACCGGCCACACUGGGACUGAGACACGGCCCAGACUCCUACGGGAAGGCAGCAGA
This 311-nucleotide ribosomal RNA is filed under the name Streptomyces sp. SNM-15-20-36. RNAcentral's name for it is "bacterial SSU rRNA". It matches the Rfam family "Bacterial small subunit ribosomal RNA", at positions 54 to 354 of the family's 1533-position model. Lineage: Bacteria; Bacillati; Actinomycetota; Actinomycetes; Kitasatosporales; Streptomycetaceae. The record is from RNAcentral.